This is a long non-coding RNA of Megalobrama amblycephala (Wuchang bream), 382 nucleotides long. RefSeq lists it as uncharacterized. Lineage: Eukaryota; Metazoa; Chordata; Actinopteri; Cypriniformes; Xenocyprididae. The record is from RefSeq and is a predicted model, not a curated record. The transcript is spliced from 4 exons.
AUCACUGAUGAAUUUGAUAUUUUUAUAUAUUUCUGAAAUGGCAAGAAAGGAAAAAAUAUAUUUUUAUUAGUAAUACGGAAGAUGGCGUCAUCACGUGAUUAAUUCUAACCAAUGAGACUGCUGGAACUGCAUCGCUAAUGAGCUGUCAUUCCGGAUUUGACUGCACCGCCCAGUUCUGCUUCAAACAGAUCAUUGGUUCUGCUCUUAUUCUUUGCCAUCUAGUCCUGAUUCCUGACUACAGGUCUUCAGGAUGACCAGGAACUACAGGACGGUUUGAGCUACACUCUGCAGGACGUUGGUCCUCCAUGACCAGGACUGGACAGCACUGUCCUAAAUAAACCUAAGGAGAGCCGCUCAGGCACAGGUCACUGCAUCUUUUGCU